This 2404-nucleotide long non-coding RNA is filed under the name Pelobates cultripes (western spadefoot toad). The record is from RNAcentral. Lineage: Eukaryota; Metazoa; Chordata; Amphibia; Anura; Pelobatidae.
CACGAUUUUGCCUUGGUGUUACUGAUCAUCCUACCCUAUCAUACAGUGUCAGACGGUAAAAUGUAUGAUCAUUUUGUUAACUGCACUCGUGAUGCAGUUUUGAGGACUUUCAGGGUGUCACAGGCUCUCUAGGCUAUUGUCGCCCUUCUUUCGAUCCUCUACUGGUCCUAGUUCCAGAUGUGUGAUGGCUCUAUUAAUUUGUGCAGAGUUUCCCCAAUAUAAUGGACGCAACCAGUCGUAUUGAGUAGAAGAUGAACGGUUUAAUUAAGGCCAAGUUGCCUGCUUAUAUACACAGGUCUCCAUACAAUACGAUUUUAACCCCGCCUAGGCGUCUCUGUCUGGGACAUACAUACAUGUACUUUUAAACUAAUUAUCCCCCAGUCACAAGAGGUACACUAUAUUAUGAAAAAACAUCCCAAAAUACAUAUAAGACAGAUAGGAACCACCACAAGUAUGGUAUCCCCAGGUGGCCUGGAUCGGAGAGCCCAAGUUGUCCAAACAGCGCUCAGAUCCAUGAAGUAUAGCCGAAUAGCCACCGGGGUCAAGUUUUGAUCAACCACAGCUGUUGCGGGAAUAGUUCCAUUAAAAAAAAAAAGAAAGAAAAAAAGCGGUAGCAGCCGGUCAACUUUCGGGAGUUCCUAUACGCCUGUAACUGAAGGCUCCCUCUGGCUCGUAGGGAGCGAAUGGUCUCACUGUACAGAAGUCUUUUUCCCAAACAGCGAUUUCCUGGCUUGUCUGGGAACAGAACAGGCAGUGGUGUGAUUUUCCCGGUGUUCGCGACACAAAGUGUCCGAAAUAUAGUUCCACACACUCAAUCACCAAGUACCGCUGCCUGUGUUCGGGAGACAAGAUGGCCACCAUUCACUAGAGGACGUAUUUCAGUUUUAUGAAUGGUGGCCAUCCAGAGAGAGCACUUGAGUUAAAGGUUUUAUGUGAAAUUAACGAGUCAGGAGGGUGGUCUGUGUUCGGUAGUUUAAGAGUACCGAACUCAAGAGAAUAGGUGGGUUUGAUAAUUUAAGGAGAGUUACAUAAGGGCCAGAUAUGAUAAGUCCUGGCUUCUUUGACACAGGGCAACUUCAUAGUGAACGCUGCAGCAGCAGGGCCAGAUUAAGAGCCCAGUGGGCCUGGUGCUGACAAUUAUGAUGGGGCCUAAUUACAGAAUCUUAUCGACCUAAAACACUAAAACAGUCAUACCUCUCAAAUGUCAUGUAUCUGAUGGAGUUGGUGUUGGAGGGGAAACUCAAAGGAUGCAGCUAUAAGAAAACACAUACUCUAUGCUAAUCUCUUUAUCCAAUUUAUGCUUUCAUCUUUCAAGUAAAUCCAUACCCCCUAACAGAAGUGUCCAGUGAAGGAGGAAGUCAAUGGGCGGAGCAAAAGGAUGGGCCACUGACGCGAAUCACGUGACCAGAACUGCCAAAAGGGGCGAACAUGCCCAAAAAGCGGGCAUGUUUGUCCAAAGAAUUAGAAAUCCAGCCUGGCAUCAGUGUCCCUAUGUAUCACAGUGUCAGUGUCCCCAUGUCGCCCAGUCCCCUAGUCUCCCAGUGUCUGUGUCCUCAUUUCUUCCAGUGUCCCCAUGUCUCAGUGUGUCCUGUGUCACUAGGAUACAAGGGAGGACACAGAGACCUGGGGACACAGUGAGACGGGGGCAACGAAACACCUGGGGACACGGCGGCGCUUGUGAAUACAGACAUGGGAACACUGGGACACAGAGAAAUGGGGUCACAGACACUAGGGACACAGACAUGGGAACACAGACAUUUGGGGAAACUUAGACACUAGGGACACAGAGACAUGGGAACACAGACACUGUGAGACUAGGGGACACUGGGAGACAUGGGGACACAGACACUAGGGACACUGGCUGGGAGGCAUGGGGACACAGACACUUGGGGGCACUUGUGGACAGACAUGGGGACACUGGGAGACAUAGGGACAGACAUUUGGAGACACUGAGAGACAUGGGGACACAGACACUAGGGACACUGGCAGACAUGGGGACACAGACACUGGCUGGGAGAUAUGUGGACCCUGGGAGCCAUGGGGACAGACAUUUGGGGACACUGGGAGCCAUGGGAACACAGACACUAGGGACACUGGCUGGGAGACAUGGGGCCACUGGGAGACAUGGUGUCCCUAGUGUCUCACAGCGUCCCCAUGUGUCUCAGCAUCCCCAUGUUUCCCAGUGUGCCCAAGUGUCUCAGUGUCGACAUGUCGCCUUUCCCCCCAUCCUUCACAUACCUGAGCUGUAGUCUGUCUCUGCAGGCUGGGAGCUGCCCGCAGAUCAGUGAGUAGAGAGAGGCAGGGAGAUGCUGUAACUUCCUAUCCCUGCCUCUCCAUACACAGUGACCCCUACUGGCUAGUGCUGGUAUUGCAGAGCAAUCUCUGUUUAUACUGAGAAAAAUAU